Paralichthys olivaceus (Japanese flounder) is the source of this 794-nucleotide non-coding RNA. The record is from RefSeq and is a predicted model, not a curated record. Lineage: Eukaryota; Metazoa; Chordata; Actinopteri; Pleuronectiformes; Paralichthyidae.
UGGCCAAAGCUGGGAAGAUGAGCCUGAAAGCAGAAGCUGAGAAUCCUCCUCACCACAGAAUGAACUGUUGCAAGGAUCCCCAGUCCUGACCAGCUUGACACACCAUGGCUCACCACAGGAGCUGGACCAGUGCAGGGCCAGGAAAGAGAAGCGACACACAGGUUCAUGCUGAGCUGGACGUGGAGGGCCAAGGAUAGCUGGAGAAGAGAGGGCGCUGAGGAAGACAACUGGGGAGGAGAAGGCUCGAAAAGACAAGAUGGGAGGCAGAAGGGCAGAAAUAGACAUAGCACAAAGAAAAGGAGAGCGGGAGUUACAGAAACAGCUUCCCAGUCAGAGAGCAGUCUAAUAGGCCACCGCUACCUUGAGAAGUGUAAAGUAGGUCUGGACAUAGCAGGCUAUUUGCAGACUGAGCGGUAAUACACAUUGUUAAUAGGUUCAACCAGGGCCCUGCCCAUUAAUCAGAUUGAGAACAGACAGAGAGGAAGAGACUAGGAAAGGAGGAGAAGGAGAAUGAUGGAUGGAGGUGGACGUCAGAGGAGGAAAAUGAGGUGUCUCAGAGCAGAGGUGAGCAUCUCAGAGCGAGGUCUCCCUCUUUCUCUCACCUCUUAAGCUUUCUGGUUCACCGUGCUCUCUCAUUCUCACAUCAUUUGGACAAAAAACUCACUUUGACGGCUUUACUGUCUCUGCAUGCGAGGCACUUCCACAUCUAUUCAUUGAGUCAUUUUGAAAUGAAUAAUUUAAAGAAGCUGCAGUGCCUGUUCUUCUCCUGCCUGUUUGGAAUGGGCUGUUUACUU